UACGAAGGGGGCUAGCGUUGCUCGGAAUCACUGGGCGUAAAGCGCACGUAGGCGGUUUGCUAAGUCAGGGGUGAAAUCCUGGAGCUCAACUCCAGAACUGCCUUUGAUACUGGCGAUCUUGAGUCCGGGAGAGGUGAGUGGAACUGCGAGUGUAGAGGUGAAAUUCGUAGAUAUUCGCAAGAACACCAGUGGCGAAGGCGGCUCACUGGCCCGGUACUGACGCUGAGGUGCGAAAGCGUGGGGAGCAAACAGG
Molecule: ribosomal RNA, 253 nt
Filed under: uncultured bacterium
Lineage: Bacteria
Description: partial 16S ribosomal RNA
Rfam family: Bacterial small subunit ribosomal RNA
Source: RNAcentral